CUUGCACAAUAACAACUGUAAGGGCAAUAUAUGCAGCUAGCAUGUCUGGUGACCAGCAGACAUUUUCAGGGCUGUCAGAACGUACAGCCUCCCUUAGGAUUGAGUUAUAAUGGGAGCAUUCAGGGAUCUAUUGGUGGCAGUAAUUAAUCAUGCCGAGGAAGGUGAGCAACUCCUUCCGAGUAGUGGGUGUUGGAAUCCUCUGAAUGACCUCAAUACGUUUUGGACUCAAUUGUCUGGUGCCUAAAGCCAGAACAAAACCUAAGUAUUCAACCUUUGAUUUACACAAUUGCAUUUUGUGUUUAACAACCUUGUGACCUACAGUUGCUGACAGUAUCCACAGUGCUUGCCUCAUAGCUAGGGUUACAUAACAACAAAUCAUCAACAUUUUGCAAAAAGGACGGAACCAUGACCGGUGGUCCAUGUUUUUUUAGAGUAUGUUAGAGUACCAACGAAUAAACAGCUGGGGAAUCCACAUAGCCUUGGGUAAGCGUGUCCAGGUAAACUGACAGCCUUCAAAAAGUAAAAACCAUAAGUAGCUGUG
Pelobates cultripes (western spadefoot toad) is the source of this 541-nucleotide non-coding RNA. Lineage: Eukaryota; Metazoa; Chordata; Amphibia; Anura; Pelobatidae. The record is from the annotation of a GenBank genome assembly.